GGACGGAUGUAGUCUAUGUUGUGCCUGGGUGAAUUCAAAAUGGCGUCUUUUAUAGUCACAAUUACAUGAAUACAUCAGUUCUUUUUUAUUCAAUUAAAUAUUACAUUUGCAGCAUGAUGAACUGCCAUGAUAGAUUCCAUAUAUUUUGUUUAAAUUAUGUUUGUUUGUCGGUUUGCUCAUCGGCUAGGUGUGAAUCACUGACAGUUGCAUCACACCUGACAUUUUGAGCUCCUUGACAAUGAACCACUGGUUCUCUCCGAGUGCUGCGUGACACAUCUGACAGCCAGGACAGGAGCAGAAAAAGAAGUCUUCCUGGGUUUAGAAGACAGAGGGCAGAGGAGGUCCAUGGUUGAUGAAACAGAGAAAAGUGUCUGUGGGGAGGAAAAGGAGUCAGCGUCAUCAGUUUUUUGGCUGGUCUUCCUUACUGUUUGUUUCUAUGAUCUGAACAUAACGUGAUAGCUACCUUAACAUUUUCCUUGUAAUGCACGACCUCUGCGUGAUUCUACUAAAGUAGACACUGAUUAGGUAGAGAUACUAGAUAUUGCUAUUACCUGUUACCACUUAAUCAGAAGUGUUAAAAUUUUUAUAUUCAUAGGCUAAUAAAAUUAAAUGUCAUGGUAAAAUUGGUUAACUUACUGUACAAACUAAACCAGACCUAUAUCCCACCACUUUUUUUCUCUACAAUGUCUUUUAUUCUUCAUGCAUUGAAGAUCUGAAUUAAUACUGAAUUAAUAUUUUUCUAUGUAUUAUAUAGUAUAUAUUAGUAACCUUUAUUAACCUUUAUUUUGAGUAUUAUAUUAACAGCUAUUCAAGAUUUUGAUUUACAUGACAUUUAACAGUAUUUAUAUAUAUUAAUCUAAAGAUAAUUAUACUCUUUGGAUGUGUAUUUGUGUGGUGUCUUUGAAAAACUGUCCACAUAACUGAAAUGUUUUCAUUCUAGUCCAACUGAAAGACACCAAAUGAAAAAAAUAAUAAAUAAGGUAUAAACAUGAUCAAUAUGACCCUAAAAACUAUGUCUCUUGUGUAUACCAUUGUUUUUCCAAAUAGUAAUAUUUAUUGUCAUACAUUAGAGCGUGUAUGCUCUGCUAUAGUUUGCACUGUUUCUGGUCACUGCUUACUGAUAUUCGCAUUGUUUAUUCUGUUUGUUGAUUAUCUGAUUUGUGUCUGUUCUUUGACCCUAAGUUUGCCUUGAUCGAUUUGGAUAUGUUUACCAUUGUUUCAUUAAAACUGCCUCACCUGCA
Molecule: long non-coding RNA, 1241 nt
Organism: Tachysurus fulvidraco (yellow catfish)
Lineage: Eukaryota; Metazoa; Chordata; Actinopteri; Siluriformes; Bagridae
Exons: 2
Source: RefSeq, a predicted model, not a curated record